GAUGAAGAACGUAGCGAAAUGUGAUAAGUAAUGUGAAUUGCAGAAUUCAGUGAAUCAUCGAAUCUUUGAACGCACAUUGCGCCCCUUGGUAUUCCGAGGGGCAUGCCUGUUCGAGCGUCAUUAUAACCCCUCAAGCUCAGCUUGGUGUUGGGGCCUGCCGCACGGGCAGCCCUUAAAAUCAGUGGCGGUGCCAUCUGGCUCUAAGCGUAGUAAUUCUUCUCGCUAUAGAGUCCCGGUGGAUGCUUGCCAUUAACCCCCAAUUUUCUAUGGUUGACCUCGGAUCAGGUAGGGAUACCCGCUGAACUUAAGCAUAUCAUAAGCGGAGGA
RNAcentral lists this unclassified non-coding RNA (327 nucleotides) under soil metagenome. RNAcentral describes it as "partial contains 5.8S ribosomal RNA, internal transcribed spacer 2, and large subunit ribosomal RNA". The stretch from base 1 to 120 matches the Rfam family "5.8S ribosomal RNA", at positions 35 to 154 of the family's 154-position model. The record is from RNAcentral.